RNAcentral lists this ribosomal RNA (253 nucleotides) under uncultured bacterium. RNAcentral describes it as "partial 16S ribosomal RNA". It matches the Rfam family "Bacterial small subunit ribosomal RNA", at positions 524 to 776 of the family's 1533-position model. The record is from RNAcentral.
UACAGAGGUCCCGAGCGUUGUUCGGAUUUAUUGGGCGUAAAGGGUGCGUAGGCGGCGGAGUAAGUUGGGUGUGAAAUCCCGGGGCUUAACCUCGGAAUUGCAUUCAAUACUGCUUCGCUUGAGUACUGGAGAGGAGGCUGGAAUUUACGGUGUAGCAGUGAAAUGCGUAGAUAUCGUAAGGAAGGCCGGUGGCGAAAGCGAGCCUCUGGACAGUUACUGACGCUGAGACGCGAAAGCGUGGGGAGCAAACAGG